RNAcentral lists this ribosomal RNA (492 nucleotides) under uncultured bacterium. Its description in RNAcentral is "partial 16S ribosomal RNA". It matches the Rfam family "Bacterial small subunit ribosomal RNA", at positions 29 to 507 of the family's 1533-position model. The record is from RNAcentral.
AGUGAACGCUGGCGGUAGGCCUAACACAUGCAAGUCGAACGGCAGCACAGUAAGAGCUUGCUCUUACGGGUGGCGAGUGGCGGACGGGUGAGGAAUACAUCGGAAUCUACUUUUUCGUGGGGGAUAACGUAGGGAAACUUACGCUAAUACCGCAUACGACCUACGGGUGAAAGCAGGGGAUCUUCGGACCUUGCGCGAUUGAAUGAGCCGAUGUCGGAUUAGCUAGUUGGCGGGGUAAAGGCCCACCAAGGCGACGAUCCGUAGCUGGUCUGAGAGGAUGAUCAGCCACGCUGGAACUGAGACACGGUCCAGACUCCUGCGGGAGGCAGCAGUGGGGAAUAUUGGACAAUGGGCGCAAGCCUGAUCCAGCCAUACCGCGUGGGUGAAGAAGGCCUUCGGGUUGUAAAGCCCUUUUGUUGGGAGAGAAAAGCAGCAGGUUAAUACCCCGCUGUUCUGACGGUACCCAAAGAAUAAGCACCGGCUAACUUCGUG